This 28-nucleotide non-coding RNA is filed under the name Homo sapiens (human). The record is from RNAcentral. Lineage: Eukaryota; Metazoa; Chordata; Mammalia; Primates; Hominidae.
UGAGAUGGCAAACAGGAGGGCUGGAUGA